Molecule: ribosomal RNA, 245 nt
Filed under: uncultured Anaerolineaceae bacterium
Lineage: Bacteria; Bacillati; Chloroflexota; Anaerolineae; Anaerolineales; Anaerolineaceae
Description: partial 16S ribosomal RNA
Rfam family: Bacterial small subunit ribosomal RNA
Source: RNAcentral
GUCAUACGAGACUGCCGGUAAAAGACCGGAGGAAGGUGAGGAUGAUGUCAAGUCAGCAUGACCUUUAUAUCCAGGGCUACACACACGCUACAAUGGUCUGUACAAUGGGUAGCCAAGCCGCGAGGCGGAGCCAAUCCUGAAAGCAGGCCUCAGUUCAGAUUGCAGUCUGCAACUCGACUGCAUGAAGCCGGAGUUGCUAGUAACCGCAGGUCAGCAAUACUGCGGUGAAUACGUUCCCGGGUCUU